GUCUCCUACAGUGAUGGCAUUAUACACGUCUGUCCUCAGAAUAAUUCUAAACUUUGGCUACUGUUGAAGGAGAUACUGGGUAUUGUGAUGGGCCACCAGUGUGAGGCCAGUGCCAAGACACCUCUUUGGGAAAUGAUGUAAUCUGUGUGCUUGCAACCAGUUCUCUGGAGGUGUUGAGUGAAGACUGAGUCGAUUGUAGCUGAACAAAGGGAAGAUGAAAGAGACUGUGAAAGGUGCUGUACUGUUGUGCCUGAUCCACUGCCCUCUCUGAGUUCCAGAAACUGGAUGUAUGAACUUGCAGUAAACAUUUUAAGUGAUUACAGCCCUGGAAAGAAGAGUGAGCUACAUAUGAAAAGGCAUUAAAGUUGGUUUAUGUGAUGCAUACCUUCGUGAUUACACUUCCCAUGGGAAUACAUCAGAAGACAAGGCACAUUAUUAAGGUAACUGUUACAUCGAUGAAGCCCUGCUUUGUAGAGCAUUGGUUUGGGAAGUCUCACCUGAUCUAUCUGAAACAGUCAUUGCAAGGAACCAUGUGACAAACUCCUGUUGCCACCCAAACAGCCACCAACCACCCCGUGAAAGAGAUUUGAUUCCAGCAUAUAAAUUCCUGUACAAGCAAGUCUCGACAUAACAAAGCCCUUCAUCAAGAUGAAGCUGCUUCAUGAGCUUGAAUUAUUACACUCUCAGCCCUGCUGUGAAAUCAACAUGAAGAACAGGACAGUGUAGCACAUCUGUGGAGAAUCUGCAUCUCUGCAUGACUUCACACAUCACAGCACCUCCUGAGAUACUAUUACUCUCCUGCCAAUAUCAAUACACCACGAGGAGGUUUCCCAGCGAGCUGUGGUGCACUGGUCAGACCUUUGGUCAGGUCCAGAACUGCGCUGAUGUUUUUUUGCUGACCAGUCUGUCAGACAAUGUCUGUGUCUGUGGCACCUCUGUGACACCAAGCCAACAGUGCUGACCACACCUCAUGUCUCACAAAGCCUUCACUGUGCUGAAGACCCUUGAAUGUUGAUGAUUUUCUUUGGGUGCUGAUGAUUAUUUUUGCCUCUUGCCAGCUUUUUUU
Corapipo altera (White-ruffed manakin) is the source of this 1066-nucleotide long non-coding RNA. RefSeq lists it as uncharacterized. The record is from RefSeq and is a predicted model, not a curated record. The transcript has 5 exons. NCBI's taxonomy places the organism in Eukaryota, Metazoa, Chordata, Aves, Passeriformes, Pipridae.